UUCCUGUCUAUCUUGUUCCUUUGCAGCUGCUGUUGCUUCGCCUUCAUUUUUUUGGCUAGCUUCAAAUGCAAGGCCGCCACCUGCUGGACUGGAUGAACCGCUUCUUCCAAACACUGCAGUCGACUUAAAUGAGGUAUGCUGAACAAUGUGAAAUGACCGUUGUUGACCAAUGCUGGAAUUGCACGCCGUGAAAACACAUUGUGGAAAAAAAGGAAAAUUUAUUCCCACCGACCACAACAACGAAAACAACACUAGCAAGUCUUUCCUGUCAUUUGGACUUGUGGAGUG
Hippocampus comes (tiger tail seahorse) is the source of this 288-nucleotide long non-coding RNA. RefSeq lists it as uncharacterized. NCBI's taxonomy places the organism in Eukaryota, Metazoa, Chordata, Actinopteri, Syngnathiformes, Syngnathidae. The record is from RefSeq and is a predicted model, not a curated record. The transcript has 2 exons.